RNAcentral lists this ribosomal RNA (202 nucleotides) under uncultured Anoxybacillus sp. Its description in RNAcentral is "partial 16S ribosomal RNA". It matches the Rfam family "Bacterial small subunit ribosomal RNA", at positions 1179 to 1382 of the family's 1533-position model. The record is from RNAcentral. Lineage: Bacteria; Bacillati; Bacillota; Bacilli; Caryophanales; Anoxybacillaceae.
AUGACGUCAAAUCAUCAUGCCCCUUAUGACCUGGGCUACACACGUGCUACAAUGGGCGGUACAAAGGGUCGCGAACCCGCAGGGGAGCCAAUCCCAAAAAGCCGCUCUCAGUUCGGAUUGCAGGCUGCAACUCGCCUGCAUGAAGCCGGAAUCGCUAGUAAUCGCGGAUCAGCAUGCCGCGGUGAAUACGUUCCCGGGCCUU